RNAcentral lists this ribosomal RNA (714 nucleotides) under Clavicipitaceae sp. Its description in RNAcentral is "partial large subunit ribosomal RNA". It matches the Rfam family "Eukaryotic large subunit ribosomal RNA", at positions 76 to 818 of the family's 3401-position model. Lineage: Eukaryota; Fungi; Ascomycota; Sordariomycetes; Hypocreales; Clavicipitaceae. The record is from RNAcentral.
UGCCCCAGUAACGGCGAGUGAAGCGGCAACAGCUCAAAUUUGAAAUCUGGCCCCCAGGGUCCGAGUUGUAAUUUGCAGAGGAUGCUUUUGGCGAGGUGCCUUCCGAGUUCCCUGGAACGGGACGCCAUAGAGGGUGAGAGCCCCGUCUGGUUGGACACCGAGCCUCUGUAAAGCUCCUUCGACGAGUCGAGUAGUUUGGGAAUGCUGCUCUAAAUGGGAGGUAUAUGUCUUCUAAAGCUAAAUAUUGGCCAGAGACCGAUAGUGCACAAGUAGAGUGAUCGAAAGAUGAAAAGCACUUUGAAAAGAGGGUUAAAUAGUACGUGAAAUUGUUGAAAGGGAAGCGCUCAUGACCAGACUUGGGCCCGGUGAAUCAUCCAGCGUUCUCGCUGGUGCACUUUGCCGGGCUCAGGCCAGCAUCAGUUUGCUCCGGGGGAUAAAGGCUUUGGGAAUGUGGCUCCUCCGGGAGUGUUAUAGCCCAUUGCACAAUACCCUGGGGCGGACUGAGGUUCGCGCAUUUAUGCAAGGAUGCUGGCGUAAUGGUCAUCAGCGACCCGUCUUGAAACACGGACCAAGGAGUCGUCUUCGUAUGCGAGUGUUCGGGUGUUAAACCCCUACGCGUAAUGAAAGUGAACGUAGGUGAGAGCUUCGGCGCAUCAUCGACCGAUCCUGAUGUUCUCGGAUGGAUUUGAGUAAGAGCAUACGGGGCCGGACCCG